RNAcentral lists this long non-coding RNA (1541 nucleotides) under Sus scrofa (pig). RNAcentral's name for it is "lncRNA (ENSSSCG00070021727.1)". Lineage: Eukaryota; Metazoa; Chordata; Mammalia; Artiodactyla; Suidae. The record is from RNAcentral.
GUUACAGAUGAAAUUUGAAGGCAGUCUGCUGGAGAAUUCCCUCUUGCUCAGGAGGGCCACUCAUUUUGUUCUAUUCAGGCCUUCAACUGAUUAGAUGAAGCCCACCACAGUAUGGAGAACAAUCUGCUUUGCUAAUUAAAAUUUUCACCUUAUCCAAAAACACUGGCAGAAACAUCCAGAAUAGUGUUGGAUCAAAUAUCUGGGCACCCCAUGAUCUAGUCAAAAAAUAAUCAUCAUAUCUUGCCACCCACAAUCCUCCUUUCAGCAAGGACCAAAUCCUACAAUUGGAGGAAGUAGUCCUUAAACUUCAAGGACUAUUAGGUCCAACUGACAAUGUAGUUUAGUAGCAGAAAUGCAGGUGGGCUUUGACAUCAAAUACACCUGGGUUCACAUCUAUCCACCAGUAUAGUUCAGGAACCUCAAGCAAAUUAUUUGACUUCUGAUAACCUCAGUUUGGUUCUUUGUAGAAUGAAGAUUUCAAUUCCUCUCUCAUAGGUUCAUUAUGAGAAAUCAACUAAAUAAUAUCCCUGAAAGUUCUCAUCAGCACAUGAAUCUUAUCAUAGCAGCAGUCCCAGCUGCAUUGUUUGCUGCUAAUAUUUAGCUGUGUCUGGCUGCAUGGAAGGGUGGAUCGGCCAGGAAGCUGUUUGCUUCAGGAACUGAAAAGUAUCCUAGAAAGGAACUCAUACAGAAUGAGAUGGUCAGACAAGCUUGGCCCAAGAAGAAAAGGCCUUAGUUAUCUGGGGAAGGGCUGGAUUUGACUCUCUGGUGCUACACCCCUCCCCAAGCUCAGACCCUUUCAAAUAUACUCAUCUCUGAGUCCUGGCAAGAAAGAAGACUCUGAACAAAAACAAAGCUAUUUUUCUAAAAACAUCUGGCUCACCCUCUUGUAUUUCUUCCACUCUUCUUUCCACAUAUUCAUCAUCAAUGGUGAGAAUUCUCGCUGGUCCAACUGCCUUGGGAUUCUUUCUUUCCUUGGAUUUUGGGAGGUUUGGCUAAGCUCGACUCCAUCUUGGAUUCUGGAUUCUCUGAGCUGCUUGAAUGAAACAGGGGCCAAUCAAGAUCAAAAAGAAGCCAAUGAAGGCAGCAGGAGGAUUCCAGAGAGCACACAAAGACAUGGGGCAGAAUCAUAGAAGCAGAUGGUGUAUAGUGCAGCUGAGGGUGGAGUGGAUUUUCCCUGAAUGAUAUUUCUGCAACUGGCUCCUCUCAUUCUGUGUCUUCAUCCCCCAUGACUGUUUUUUUUCCUGUGCUGGAUUCUGUAUAAACAGGAGUAGAAAGCAUGAGGAAGCCUCCUACUUCUUAACCACUUGGUACUAGAGGUGAGUACAUCUCUCCUGCUCUCAUUCCACUGGGAGAAGAAAUCACAUUGACAUGAAGCCUGGGAAAUUUGAUCUCUAGCUGGGUAACCAGCUUCUCAUGGCAGCUCUACCCUAUUGAAAGGAGUCAGUCAUUUGUAGUGGAAAAACUACCCAACUCUUUAUGUAAUGAAAACUAUAAGACUUUGCUGAAAUAAAUAGAAGACAUGAACAAAUGGAAAGAUAUCC